UCCUUGCGAGAGGCAGCCAUCAGGUUCAUCGGACUGGCCGCGCGGCCCCUAAGGGGCAGGAACGAGCUGAAGCUGGAGCAGAUCUGCCGAGCCCUUGAGACGCUGCUGGAGGAAAGCCAUCCCGUCAUCUGUUCCCUGGCAAUUCAGACCGUGC
Long non-coding RNA from Strigops habroptila (Kakapo), 154 nucleotides. RefSeq lists it as uncharacterized. NCBI's taxonomy places the organism in Eukaryota, Metazoa, Chordata, Aves, Psittaciformes, Psittacidae. The transcript is spliced from 3 exons. The record is from RefSeq and is a predicted model, not a curated record.